GAUGAACGCUAGCGGCAGGCUUAAUACAUGCAAGUCGAGGGGCAGCAUGACUGUAGCAAUACAGUUGAUGGCGACCGGCAAACGGGUGCGGAACACGUACGCAAUCUACCCAAAACUGGUGAAUAGCCCUCCGAAAGGAGGAUUAAUACACCGUAACCUAUUGAAGUGGCAUCACUUUAUUAGUAUAGCUCCGGCGGUUU
Molecule: ribosomal RNA, 200 nt
Filed under: uncultured bacterium
Lineage: Bacteria
Description: partial 16S ribosomal RNA
Rfam family: Bacterial small subunit ribosomal RNA
Source: RNAcentral